UAGGGAAUCUUCCACAAUGGACGCAAGUCUGAUGGAGCAACGCCGCGUGAGUGAAGAAGGUUUUCGGACCGUAAAGCUCUGUUGUUGGUGAAGAAGGAUAGAGGUAGUAACUGGCCUUUAUUUGACGGUAAUCAACCAGAAAGUCACGGCUAACUACGUGCCAGCAGCCGCGGUAAUACGUAGGUGGCAAGCGUUGUCCGGAUUUAUUGGGCGUAAAGCGAGCGCAGGCGGAAGAAUAAGUCUGAUGUGAAAGCCCUCGGCUUAACCGAGGAAUUGCAUCGGAAACUGUUUUUCUUGAGUGCAGAAGAGGAGAGUAGAACUCCAUGUGUAGCGGUGGAAUGUGUAGAUAUAUGGAAGAAUACCAGUGGCGAAGGCGGCUCUCUGGUCUGCAACUGACGCUGAGGCUCGAAAGCAUGGGUAGCGAACAGGAUUAGAUACCCUGGUAGUCCAUGCCGUAAACGAUGAGUGCUAAGUGUUGGGAGGCUUCCGCCUCUCAGUGCUGCAGCUAACGCAUUAAGCACUCCGCCUGGGGGAGUACGACCGCAAGGUUGAAAC
This 555-nucleotide ribosomal RNA is filed under the name uncultured bacterium. RNAcentral's name for it is "partial 16S ribosomal RNA". It matches the Rfam family "Bacterial small subunit ribosomal RNA", at positions 355 to 900 of the family's 1533-position model. The record is from RNAcentral.